CGACCGGCGCACGGGUGAGUAACGCGUAUCCAACCUGCCUUACACUCUUGGACAGCCUUCUGGAAAGGGAGAAUUAAUAAAAGAUGUUAUCAUGAGGUAGGCUAUUUUCGCAUGAUUAAAGGUUUACCGGUGUAAGAUGGGGAUGCGUUCCAUUAGAUAGUAGGCGGGGUAACGGCCCACCUAGUCUUCGAUGGAUAGGGGUUCUGAGAGGAAGGUCCCCCACAUUGGAACUGAGACACGGUCCAA
Molecule: ribosomal RNA, 246 nt
Filed under: uncultured bacterium
Lineage: Bacteria
Description: partial 16S ribosomal RNA
Rfam family: Bacterial small subunit ribosomal RNA
Source: RNAcentral